This 397-nucleotide ribosomal RNA is filed under the name uncultured bacterium. RNAcentral's name for it is "partial 16S ribosomal RNA". It matches the Rfam family "Bacterial small subunit ribosomal RNA", at positions 523 to 918 of the family's 1533-position model. The record is from RNAcentral.
AUACGUAGGGGGCGAGCGUUGUCCGGAAUGAUUGGGCGUAAAGGGCGCGUAGGCGGCCCGGUAAGUCUGGAGUGAAAGUCCUGUUUUUAAGAUGGGAAUUGCUUUGGAUACUGUCGGGCUUGAGUGCAGGAGAGGUAAGUGGAAUUCCCAGUGUAGCGGUGAAAUGCGUAGAGAUUGGGAGGAACACCAGUGGCGAAGGCGACUUACUGGACUGUAACUGACGCUGAGGCGCGAAAGUGUGGGGAGCAAACAGGAUUAGAUACCCUGGUAGUCCACACUGUAAACGAUGAAUGCUAGGUGUAGGGGGUAUCGACCCCUUCUGUGCCGCAGUCAACACAAUAAGCAUUCCGCCUGGGGAGUACGACCGCAAGGUUGAAACUCAAAGGAAUUGACGGGG